Molecule: transfer RNA, 128 nt
Filed under: Neonectria ditissima
Lineage: Eukaryota; Fungi; Ascomycota; Sordariomycetes; Hypocreales; Nectriaceae
Rfam family: tRNA
About the family: Transfer RNA (tRNA) molecules are approximately 80 nucleotides in length. Their secondary structure includes four short double-helical elements and three loops (D, anti-codon, and T loops).
Source: Rfam by way of RNAcentral
GACACAGUGGCCGAGUGGUUAAGGCGUCAGACUUGAAGCGCCUCUUGAAAUGGGAUUCCGGUCCACAAGUAAAGAGGACGAGAUAUCUGAUUCCCUAGGGAUCGCAGGUUCGAAUCCUGUCUGUGUCG